UCAAUAUUAUAUCAAUUUUUAUAGUAAGCCUUGUGGAUAGCAUAAUAAACUCACUAAGAUCUUGACAUACUCUGUUGAUCAAGCAUAAAGGAAGGCCUUUGUAAUAUCUACAUCACUAAUCAAUCCAAGUCUGAAACUUAAUAAGACCAAACUGACCAGGUCAAUAGGUGGGAGGCUCUCCAUAGCUUUUCUUACAUACCAAUAAAGUUGGUCAGACC
RNAcentral lists this long non-coding RNA (218 nucleotides) under Elaeis guineensis (African oil palm). RNAcentral's name for it is "long non-coding RNA (EGUI_LNC052649)". Lineage: Eukaryota; Viridiplantae; Streptophyta; Magnoliopsida; Arecales; Arecaceae. The record is from RNAcentral.